GACGAACGCUGGCGGCGUGCUUAACACAUGCAAGUCGAACGGAAAGGCCCUGCUUUUGUGGCUUGCUCGAUUGGCGAACGGGUGAGUAACACGUGAGUAACCUGCCCUUGACUUUGUGAUAACUUCAGGAAACUGGGGCGAAUACCGGGUAGGAGCUCCUGCUGCACGGGGUUGUUUGGAAAGUUUCGGCGGUUCUGGAUGGACUCGCGGGUUAUCCGCUUUUUUGUGGGGUAGUGGCUUACCAAGGCUUCGACGGGUAGGCGGCCUGAGAGAGUGAACGGGCACAUUGGGACUGCGAUAGGCAGCAGACUGGUACGGGCCGCAGUAGUCGGAAGUAUUACGCAACGGGCGGAAGCCUGAUGCGGCAACGCCGCGUGCGGGAUGCCGGCCUACGGGUUGUAAACAGCUUUCGAAUGUGCUGAAGCGUGAGUGACGGUAAUGGGUCAAGAAGCACCGGCUAACUACGUG
RNAcentral lists this ribosomal RNA (468 nucleotides) under uncultured bacterium. RNAcentral describes it as "partial 16S ribosomal RNA". It matches the Rfam family "Bacterial small subunit ribosomal RNA", at positions 28 to 507 of the family's 1533-position model. The record is from RNAcentral.